UACGUAGGGUGCAAGCGUUGUCCGGAAUUAUUGGGCGUAAAGAGCUCGUAGGCGGUCUGUCGCGUCUGCUGUGAAAACUCAGGGCUUAACCCUGAGCUUGCAGUGGGUACGGGCAGACUAGAGUGCGGUAGGGGAGACUGGAAUUCCUGGUGUAGCGGUGAAAUGCGCAGAUAUCAGGAGGAACACCGGUGGCGAAGGCGGGUCUCUGGGCUGUAACUGACGCUGAGGAGCGAAAGCAUGGGGAGCGAACAGG
Molecule: ribosomal RNA, 253 nt
Filed under: uncultured bacterium
Lineage: Bacteria
Description: partial 16S ribosomal RNA
Rfam family: Bacterial small subunit ribosomal RNA
Source: RNAcentral